This 4653-nucleotide long non-coding RNA is filed under the name Homo sapiens (human). Its description in RNAcentral is "HSALNT0352308". The record is from RNAcentral. Lineage: Eukaryota; Metazoa; Chordata; Mammalia; Primates; Hominidae.
GUCAAUUAUGUGUUCUGUAAAUUUGCUGAAUUUGUUUCUUAAUUUUAACAAGUUUUCUUUUUGGAGCCUUUAGAAUUUUCUCUGUAUAAGAUCAUGUCAUCUUGAAAUAGACACACUUUCACUUCUUUUCCAAUUUGGAUGCCUUUUAUUUCUUUUUCUUACCUAAUUGCUCUGGCUAAGACUUACAGACUUUUUCAGAAACCCCCCAGAGUAAUCUAGGGGAGUCCACUGUCACUAGAUCUGCUUUAUAAGAAACCCUAAAGGGAGUUCCUCAAACUGAAAUGCAAUAAGACUAAUUAGUAUCAUGAAACCAUAUGUAGUUAUAAAAAGUCACUGGUAACUAUACAGUCAAAUUCAAAAUACUCUUAAUACUGUAAUGAUGCAGUAUAAUCACUUUAACUUUUAAAAGGUUAAAAGACAAAAAAUACUACAAAUAAAUAUAAUUACAAAAUAUACAAAGAAAGAAACUCUGACAUCAAAAAACAUAAGUGGAGGGGAGUAAAGUGUAGGGUUUUUUUAUAUGAUUGAAGUUAAGUUGUUAUCAACUUAAAAUAGACCAUUAUAACUACAAUCAUGCAUUUCUUAAUGCAGAUAUGUUCUGAAUAAUGCAAUUUUGUCAUGGUGUGAAUAUCAUAGAGUAUACUUACACAAAAUUAGAUAAUACUAGCUAACACACACCCAGGCUAUAUGGUAUAACCUAUUGUUUCCAGGCUACAAAUCUGUACAGCACUGUACUAUACUGAAUGCUAUAGGCAACUGUAAUACAAUCAUAAGCAUUUGUAUAUCUAAUGUAUCUAAACAUAUGAAAGGUACAAUAAAAAUGUUAUAACCUUAUGGGACCACCGUUGUAUAUGUGGCCCAUCAUUGACCAAAACAUCCUUGUGUGGCACACGAUAGCAUACAAUGUUUUAUGUAAGCCUCAUGAUAAUCACAAAGACAAACAUGUAACAGAUACACAAAUGAGAAUUUUACCACAUGUUUAAAAAAGAAUUAAUACAAAGGCACAGCAAAGAAUCAAAGUAUACCACUACAGAAAAUAAUGAAAGUAAUCAAAUCAUGCACAGCAAGAGAGAAAUAAAAGAACAAAAAAACUACAAAAUGCCUAUCAAUAGUUACUUUAAAUAUCAGUGGACCAAAUCAGUGAAACAAAAGACACAGAGUGGCUGAAUGGAUAGUAUAACAAGAACCAAAUAUAUGCCACCUAUAAGAGACUCACUUCACCUUUAGAGACACACAUAGACUGAAAGAGAGGGAACAAAAAAAGACAAAGAGUAGCUAUUCUUACAACAAACAAAAUAGAUUUUAAGUCAAAAACUGUAACAAGAGACAAAGAAAGUCAUUAUAGAAUGAUACAAGGGUCAAUUCAUCAAGAGGAUAUAACUACUGCAAAUAUAUAUUCUCCCAACAUUGGAGCACCUAAUUAUAUAAAGCAAAUAUUAACAAAUCUGAAGAGAGAAGUGGACAACAAUAAUACAAUAACAGUAGGGGACUUCCAUAUCCCACUUUCAACAAUGGAUUAAUCAUUCAGACAGAUAAUCAUUAAAGAAACAGCUGACGUGAACUACACUAUAGAUCAAAUGGACCAGACAUAUACAUGACAUUCCUUUCCAAAACAGCAAAAUACACAUUCUUCUCGAGCAUACACAGUACAUUCUCCAACAUAGGUCAUAUAUUAGGCCAGAAAACAAGUCUUAGCAAAUUUAAGAAUAUUGAGAUCUCACCAAGUAUUCUUUUUGACUACAGUGGCAUGAAACUGAAAAUUAAAAACAGGAGAAAACUUAGAAAAGUGACAAAUAUGUGGAAAUCAACCAACACACUCCUCAAUAACCAGUAGAUCAAAGAAAACAUCAAAAAAGAAAUAAAAUAACUUGAGACAAACUAAAAUGAAAGCACGACAUACUAAAACUUAUGAGAUGAAGCAAAAGCCAUUCUAAGAGAGGGAAGUUUAUACAGAUAAGUGCUAAAUAAAGAAAAAAGAUCUCAAAUAAACCUCAAAAAAUAGAAAAAAAAAUCAAGCCCAAAAUUAGAAGAAGGAAAUAACAAAGAUCAUAGCAGAAAUAAAUGAAAUAGACUAGAAAAACAAUAGAAAAGAUCAAUGAAAUGAAGAGCUGAUUUUUUGAAAAGAUAAUAAAAAUUGACCAACCUAUCACUAGGCUAAGAAAAAAGAAAUCUCAAGUAAAUAAAAUUAGAACAAAAAAGGAGAUAUUAAAAUUGGUACCAUAGAAAUACAAAGGAUAAUAAUAGUCUAAACAACUAUGUGUCAACAAAUUGUUUAACUUAGAAUAGAGAAAUUUCUAGAAACAUACAUCCACUAAGACUGAAACAUGAAGAAAUAUAAAAUAAAAACAGAUAAAUAAUGAGUAAAAAUAUUGAGUCAGUAGUCAAAAAGCUCCUGAAAAAGGAAAAUCCAAGACAAGAUAGCUUAGUGGAGAAUUCUACCAAAUGUUUGAAGAAGAAUUAAUACCAUUUCUUCACAAACACUUCCAAAAGUUGAAGAGGAGGGAACACUUCCAAACAUUUUUUAUGAGGCCAGCAUUACCCUGAUAACAAAGACAGAAAAGAACACUACAAGGAUGACAGAUAUUUUUAAGGUACAAAUGAUGUAUUGCUGGAAUUGAAAAUACAGGCUUUGUUAGUACAAAGAUUUGUGUGUGGAUAGAUGGAUGUGUAUUGGUGUGUGCAUGCAUACAUAUACAAGCUUACCUUGUUUUAUUGCACUUCACUUUAUUAUGCUUCUCAGAUAUUGCAGUUUUUACAGGUUGAAGGUUUGUAGCAACCGUGCACCAAGCAAGUCUACCAGUGCCACUUUUCUGGUAGCAUGUGCUUAUUUUGCACCUCUGUGUUACAUCUUUGUAAUUCUUGUAGUAUUUCAAAUGUUUUGUUAUUAUUAUAUCUGUUAUGGUGAUCUGUUAUCAGUGAUCAUUGAUAUUACUAUUGUCAUUGUUUUGGGGCAUCACAAGCCAUGGUCCAAAAGACAAUGAGCUUAAUUGAUACCUAUGUGUAUUCGAAUGGUUCCAUCGAUCUGCCCUUCCUCCAUCUCCCCCUCUCCUCAGGUCUGUUUUCUGAGACACAGCAAUAUUGAAAUUAGGCCAAUUAAUAACUCUAUAAAGGCCUCUGUGUUCAAGUGAAAGUAAGAGUCACACAUCUCUUAUUAUAAAUCUAAAGUGAGAAAUGAUUAAGCUGAGUGAGGAAGGUAUGUUAAAAGCCGAGACAGGCCAAAAGGCCCAGGCUGGUCUCGAACGCCUGACCUCAAGCAAUCCACCUGCCGCAGCCUCCCAGGUAGCUGAGAUUAAAGGCAUGAGCCACCAUGUCCAGCUUCUAUGCAUUAUUUUAAAUGGAGUAUUGAAGACUCUAUUACUGUAGAACUAUUUCUAACUUCAAUUCUGUCAAUAUUUGGGUCACAGGCCUUAAUGUUAUUACACGCUAGUCUGAUGCUCAUGGCCAGGACAUUUUGUUUUCCUGUUGGACAUAAACAAUCUCACAGAAUAUCAACUUCAGAAGGUUAAUCUGAGACCGUGAUAAGUGCAAACAAAAACAAGGGCACUUUAUAAUGUUGUCUAAGUGCAGAUAAAAAACAAGGUCUUGAUGCCACCCACAAAAUACUUAAUAAUCAUAUUGCUCCUGCUUUCUGACAGCAUCCAAUCUAAAGUCUUCACUUUCUGAGAUCCUGUCCGAAAUCAACCAAUUAAAGCCCAAAUCGUAUAAUAGUUUCUCUCUAACUCCUCCCACUGAGAUGACCCAUAGUACCCCAUUCCUUGCUGCAAUGUAAUUACAAGUGUGCUCCUGGUGGUCUUUAACUGAAGGGCACUGACUGGGUACUGGUGAAGUUCCCCGCAGGAACUGAGUCAGACCCCAUCUCAGGGCCCUGCAGAAGAUAGGUGCCUGCUCUAAGGCGUGGACCCUCGCGACAGCCCUGGCCCGUCUUGACGGGCGAGGGUUACUGUACUUGUCCCAAUCGUACAGAUGAGAAAGCUCAGACUCAGGGCCAGCAACCCCGGUCCCAGCGGAGCGCCCGGCACGCGCCGACACUUCAGCACCAGUCGCGGUGGCCACCACUGUGCGCGGAGAUGGCUGCGACGCGUGCGCAGGGAAAUUUGUGCACAGAGAUAACACAGGGGAUAUGCCAUAUGAAGAUGAAGGCAGAAUUCUACAAGCCCAGGAAUGCCAAAGAUUGCCAGCAAACCACCAGAAGCUAGGAGAGAAGUGUGGAUUAGAUUCUUUCUCACAGCCCUCAGAAGGAACCAGCCCUGCCAAGAACUUGAUCUCAGACUUCUAGUCUCCAGAACUGUGAGACAGUGCAUUUUGUUCUGUAAGUCAGCCACAUGGUUUGUGGCACUUUGUUAUGGCAGCCCUAGGAGAUGAAGACAAUAUGCAACAUGGUAUGUCCAUUAUAGGACACUGUGGGCUAUAAAUGUGUUCUUUGGCCUGAAGAAAUAAAACUUGGUGGUCCAAGUUGAUGUCUUAUCAUCUGUUCCAGUUCUUUUAUGGUAUUUUUGGCAUUUGAAUCUAAUGACUAUGCAAAGCCCAGUCCAGAGAAUGUGUCAGGACCCAUUAUAGCCUCCCAGGGAUACUGGCUUCAGUCUGGUAUAAUCUACUUGUUAGCUAUGAGUGGUGCCUUCCCACUGGGAACCUGCCCCAUAGCCACCUGCGGUC